This 497-nucleotide ribosomal RNA is filed under the name uncultured bacterium. Its description in RNAcentral is "partial 16S ribosomal RNA". It matches the Rfam family "Bacterial small subunit ribosomal RNA", at positions 28 to 507 of the family's 1533-position model. The record is from RNAcentral.
GAUGAACGCUGGCGGCGUGCCUAAUACAUGCAAGUCGAGCGAACAGAUGAGGAGCUUGCUCCUCUGACGUUAGCGGCGGACGGGUGAGUAACACGUGGAUAACCUACCUAUAAGACUGGGAUAACUUCGGGAAACCGGAGCUAAUACCGGAUAAUAUAUUGAACCGCAUGGUUCAAUAGUGAAAGACGGUUUUGCUGUCACUUAUAGAUGGAUCCGCGCCGCAUUAGCUAGUUGGUAAGGUAACGGCUUACCAAGGCAACGAUGCGUAGCCGACCUGAGAGGGUGAUAGGCCACACUGGAACUGAGACACGGUCCAGACUCCUACGGGAGGCAGCAGUAGGGAAUCUUCCGCAAUGGGCGAAAGCCUGACGGAGCAACGCCGCGUGAGUGAUGAAGGUCUUGGGAUCGUAAAACUCUGUUAUGAGGGAAGAACAAAUGUGUAAGUAACUAUGCACGUCUUGACGGUACCUAAUCAGAAAGCCACGGCUAACUACGUG